This 22-nucleotide microRNA is filed under the name Cervus elaphus (red deer). RNAcentral's name for it is "PC-3p-64304". The record is from RNAcentral. Lineage: Eukaryota; Metazoa; Chordata; Mammalia; Artiodactyla; Cervidae.
AAACCCCGAAUGAACUUUUUGU